RNAcentral lists this ribosomal RNA (434 nucleotides) under uncultured Lachnospiraceae bacterium. Its description in RNAcentral is "bacterial SSU rRNA". It matches the Rfam family "Bacterial small subunit ribosomal RNA", at positions 341 to 792 of the family's 1533-position model. Lineage: Bacteria; Bacillati; Bacillota; Clostridia; Lachnospirales; Lachnospiraceae. The record is from RNAcentral.
ACGGGAGGCAGCAGUGGGGAAUAUUGCACAAUGGGGGAAACCCUGAUGCAGCGACGCCGCGUGAGUGAAGAAGUAUUUCGGUAUGUAAAGCUCUAUCAGCAGGGAAGAUAAUGACGGUACCUGACUAAGAAGCACCGGCUAAAUACGUGCCAGCAGCCGCGGUAAUACGUAUGGUGCAAGCGUUAUCCGGAUUUACUGGGUGUAAAGGGAGCGCAGACGGCAGAGCAAGUCUGAAGUGAAAGCCCCGGGCUCAACCCGGGAACUGCUUUGGAAACUGUUUUGCUAGAGUGUCGGAGAGGUAAGUGGAAUUCCUAGUGUAGCGGUGAAAUGCGUAGAUAUUAGGAGGAACACCAGUGGCGAAGGCGGCUUACUGGACGAUAACUGACGUUGAGGCUCGAAAGCGUGGGGAGCAAACAGGAUUAGAUACCCUGGUA